GACGAACGCUGGCGGCGUGCUUAACACAUGCAAGUCGAACGGAAAUGCCCUGCUUUUGUGGGGUGCUCGAGUGGCGAACGGGUUAGUAACACGUGAGUAACCUGCCCUUGACUUUGGUAUACCUUCAGGAAACUGGGGCUACUACCGGAUCUGAUCUCCUGCUGCAUGGUGGGGGUUGGACAUUUUCUGCGGUUGGGGAUGGACUGGCGGCUUAUCAGCUUGUUGGUGGGGUAGUGGCUUACCAAGGCUUUGAAGGGUAGCCGGCCUGGGAUGGGUACCGGCAACAUUGGGACGGAGAUACGGCCCAGACUCAUACGGGAGGGAGGAGUGGGGAAUAGUAUACAAUGGGAGGAAGCAUGAUGCAGCAACGCCGCGUGCGGGAUGACGGCCUGCGGGUUGGAAACCGCUUUCGCCUGUGAAGAAGAGUGAGUGACGGUAAUGGGUAAAGAAGCACCGGCUAACUACGUG
RNAcentral lists this ribosomal RNA (468 nucleotides) under uncultured bacterium. RNAcentral's name for it is "partial 16S ribosomal RNA". It matches the Rfam family "Bacterial small subunit ribosomal RNA", at positions 28 to 507 of the family's 1533-position model. The record is from RNAcentral.